UGUUAUCAAAAACAUGUCCUUUAGAAGUUAUUGAUUUGAGGUCUAGCCUGCCCAGUGAUGUUUUUAAAUGGCCGCAGUAUUUUGACUGUGCGAAGGUAGCAUAAUCAUUUGUCUCUUAAUUGGAGGCUUGUAUGAAUGGUUGGACGAAGAAUUAACUUUCUUUGCUUAAUUUUUAUGAAUUUGAUUUUUUGGUUAAAAAGCUUAAAUUUUUUUGCAAGACGAGAAGACCCUAUAGAAUUUUAUUAUUUUUGUUUUAUUUAUUUAUUGGUUAAUGAUAAUUAUUUAAUUUAUUAAUAAUUUUGUUGGGGCGACAAUGAAAAUUUCUUAACUUUCAUUUUUAUUGUUUCAUUUAUUAAUGUGUUUUUUGAUCCUGAAUUUUGGAUUAUAAGAUUAAAUUACCUUAGGGAUAACAGCGUAAUUUCUUUGGAGAGUUCUUAUCUAUAAAGGAGUUUGCGACCUCGAUGUUGGAUUAAAGUUAGUUUUUGGUGCAGAAGCUUUAAAACUAAGUCUGUUCGACUUUUAAAUCUUUACGUGAUCUGAGGUCAAA
This 547-nucleotide ribosomal RNA is filed under the name Anasa sp. WCW-2003. Its description in RNAcentral is "partial 16S ribosomal RNA". It matches the Rfam family "Bacterial large subunit ribosomal RNA", at positions 1801 to 2615 of the family's 2925-position model. The record is from RNAcentral. Lineage: Eukaryota; Metazoa; Arthropoda; Insecta; Hemiptera; Coreidae.